UGGCGGACGGGUGAGUAACGCGUAAAGAACUUGCCCUUUAGACUGGGAUAACAGAGGGAAACUUCUGAUAAUACUGGAUAAGUUAGUAUAUCGCAUGAUAUGCAAAUGAAAGCUACGGCACUAAAGGAGAGCUUUGCGUCCUAUUAGCUAGUUGGUAAGGUAAGAGCUUACCAAGGCGAUGAUAGGUAGCCGGCCUGAGAGGGUGGACGGCCACAAGGGGACUGAGAUACGGCCCUUACUCCUACGGGAGGCAGCAGCC
RNAcentral lists this ribosomal RNA (259 nucleotides) under uncultured Leptotrichia sp. RNAcentral's name for it is "partial 16S ribosomal RNA". It matches the Rfam family "Bacterial small subunit ribosomal RNA", at positions 96 to 355 of the family's 1533-position model. Lineage: Bacteria; Fusobacteriati; Fusobacteriota; Fusobacteriia; Fusobacteriales; Leptotrichiaceae. The record is from RNAcentral.